Long non-coding RNA from Prunus dulcis (almond), 1437 nucleotides. RefSeq lists it as uncharacterized. NCBI's taxonomy places the organism in Eukaryota, Viridiplantae, Streptophyta, Magnoliopsida, Rosales, Rosaceae. The record is from RefSeq and is a predicted model, not a curated record. The transcript is spliced from 3 exons.
UUUCAGUUCCAUCUCCAAAGCAAUGGCGAAGAACACGAACAAGAAGAAAGAUAAACGAUUCCGCUUCAAUGGACAUCACUGAAGAGCCCGUUUCAGAUUUUCCUCAAGCAAUGGACACCUCAUAGUCGGAGGCUCACAACCCAAGUGGUGUUGCUUCCAGUUUAAGCUGUUGAUGUAUGUGUGUAUUUGACGACCCCGUUUGCUUCAACCUCUAUUGUCCUGGUGGCCACACCAUUUUGGAUGGACUUCACAGGUUUCUUCAUAAUGUACUGCAUUUUUUGGCAAUAGUCAUGGAACUCUUUUACAGGAUUGAGCGGCACCGUUUCUGGAGAAACCAACGGCUCCAAAAGGGGACGUAUACUUUUAAAUACGGCAUUCUUAUCAUAUUCAGAAUCAACAAAAAUUGCCCCUGCUAGAGACUCAAUAAUAUCUGCAAGUACCUGUUAUAAAUUGUUAAAAUGCAGAGGAGUUAGUAAAUGAUUUAUUUACUAACAAAUAUAUGAUUUAGAUUUGUUUUGUUAGAUUUGUUUUGUUAAAUUGGAUCUCCCCAAAAAGAGUUAGUAAAUGAUUUUAUUAAAGGCAAUUGAGUUCAUUCAGGUUGAUUCAUCCAGGAGAAAAGUUUAUUCCUAUAGCAACCAAAAGAAAGAAGGAAAAAGUGUAGAAGAGAAAUGAUAUGAGCAUGAUAAGCAUUAAAAAUCAACCUCGGAGAAGUAUGUCUCAGAUUCCCAUCCAAAAGUUGAUUCUGCAGAUAAGCUCGCAAAAUUGUUGACAGUGUUAGCAAUAUCAGUGUGGAGGACACUGUCCGAAGCAAGAAUGUGUUUGUGUAAUCCAGCUCUCACAGCAGUUCGUGCAUAACAAAUGUUGUUCACGGAAGCAGACCUCAUAUCAGUUAAAAGUCCUGGUGACAUAUCAGGAUACUUAUGGUACAAAUGAGCAGUGAUAACAUAAUCCAACACUGCAUCGCCAAGAAAUUCAAGCCGCUGCACAACAAAGAAUAUUCACGUAAAAGAUGGCAUAUCAAUGAGACAGAAUGAAAAAAAAAAAAUUUGAGACAGAACCGAACAAACUUGGAAGUGAAAUCUGAGUUUUGUAUUUCCGCAACGCAAAAGAAACACUGUUAUGAGUUAGGAUGUACCAUACAAUUAACAUUUUACACAGUAGGCAUGCAUGCAAUAAAUUUCAUUGUCAUUGCAUAAUUGCAUUUGCAUGUACCUCAUAACAUCCUGGAAUCUGAGGAAGCAUGUAAGAACCAUGGGUUAGUGCUUCCAGUAAAAGAGAAGGAUCACGAAAUGAAUAGUUGUUAAGCAGGAAUUCUAAAUGUCUGACAUCAAUGAGCUUCUCUGGCUGCACUUGGAAGUGCCUCUCAUAAGGUAUAUGGAAUAAAUCCACCUUUAUACCAACCCAAUUCAUGAAAUAUAUGGCAGCUAUUUCACCACC